Molecule: non-coding RNA, 94 nt
Filed under: Rhodococcus (subgen. Prescottella) equi
Lineage: Bacteria; Bacillati; Actinomycetota; Actinomycetes; Mycobacteriales; Nocardiaceae
Also listed under: 1 other name
Source: RNAcentral
AAACGUCUGCGGGGAAGUCCUGUGAGAAUCAGGCGCGGUCCCGCCACUGUGAGGGCGCACGAGGUGCACCCGAAGCCAGAAUGCCGCAACGUUU